RNAcentral lists this long non-coding RNA (268 nucleotides) under Lathyrus oleraceus (garden pea). RNAcentral's name for it is "Pisum sativum (pea) long non-coding RNA (PSAT_LNC029785)". Lineage: Eukaryota; Viridiplantae; Streptophyta; Magnoliopsida; Fabales; Fabaceae. The record is from RNAcentral.
AAAUGAAAUAAAAGGCAUGAAAAAUAUUUUAAAAAAUGAAUUUUAAAAUGGAAAUAAAAGGGAAAAUCAAAGUCCUUCAAAACACCAAAUAAAUGACCAAGAAAAAUAUGGAAGGUUGGAAAUAAAAUAAGAGGUAUAUAAUAAACUUUUCAUAAUUUUAAAAUGCAGAAAAGUAUUUUUAAACCAUUUAAAAAGAAGGAGAAAAGAGAAAUUCCAUGAAAAAUAGAAAAUCAGUAAAAUAAAAUGUAAAAAAAUAUAAAUCAGAUGA